This 253-nucleotide ribosomal RNA is filed under the name uncultured bacterium. RNAcentral's name for it is "partial 16S ribosomal RNA". It matches the Rfam family "Bacterial small subunit ribosomal RNA", at positions 524 to 776 of the family's 1533-position model. The record is from RNAcentral.
UACGUAGGGGGCAAGCGUUGUCCGGAAUCAUUGGGCGUAAAGCGCGCGUAGGCGGCCCGGUAAGUCCGCUCUGAAAGUCCAGGGCUCAACCCUGGAAUGCGGGUGGAUACUGCCGGGCUAGAGUCCGGAAGAGGCGAGUGGAAUUCCGCGUGUAGCAGUGAAAUGCGUAGAUAUCGGAAGGAACAUCAGUGGCGAAAGCGGCUUCCUGGACCAGCACCGACGUUCAGGCACGAAAGCGUGGGGAGCAAACAGG